This 1169-nucleotide long non-coding RNA is filed under the name Dromaius novaehollandiae (emu). RNAcentral's name for it is "lncRNA (ENSDNVG00000008803.1)". The record is from RNAcentral. Lineage: Eukaryota; Metazoa; Chordata; Aves; Casuariiformes; Dromaiidae.
UCAUCAGCCACCCUGGAACAUCCCAGUCCUUUCUCUCUCCUCUCCAGGUCUCGACAUGUUUGACUGCACCAAAGCAGAGGGGCGAUGGGUAGCCUGGCAGUGCUGAGAGAGCAGGUUUGUGCUGGGUGCAUCCCCUGUGUGCCCCCCUGGGACCCCAGCUCCAGAAGAGCAGAGACGGGGAGAGCCCUGGACAGUGGAGCCAUGCGGAGCAGAGAGCUGAAGAGAGCCCAAUCUCCAGAGCAGAGUGUGCAAGGCUAGUGGUUCUCCCUGUGCAAGAAGGCUGAACCAAGAAAUAGCUGCAGAAGGUGGCUUUGAUGGCACACACCUGUGGCCUGAUCCUGCUUGGAGCACACAUCCCCUUGGCUGAGUCAAGCUCAGGUGCUCAGYGCCAUCAGGACUGGGCUCAGGGCUGAGGAUGCAGCUGAACUGGCUGUGCUGCAAGGCCAAGCGCAGCGGAGUGAGGACAUUGGUAUUUAUAAGUGGGCUUGGCACUUCUCUGUGUUUUCCCAAUUGUCGYGUCUAUAUGGUCUGUUGCCCAAGUAAGGGGAAAAAGAUCCCUUGUGUGAUCUGGAGGUGUAACUUGCUGGAUCUGACAUGUAAAUGUUAAUGAAGAAACAACACUGAAGAGACAAAAAMCCCUCCUACCCUUGAACCCCUUGAGAUCCCUUUAUUAUCCUGGCAGUUGUUGCACUUGGACUGGCUUUCCGCAUUCUCAUCUCAAAUCGGCUGGCUCUAGCAACUGUUCCCGAGAUUCCACAGCUAUGUCCUACUGAGGGAAAACAUUUAUUGAAGUUUUCAUAUUAUUGGGGAAAUACAUAUUUCUGCUUCUUUGCAAAGCUCCACUGAUGUUCUUUCUAAGCCAGACCCACAUGUCAGCGGAGGGGCAUGAGAAGCCUCCUCUCACUUCUCUCUUGCAGCCAUUUCCUCUGGUGUGAACUUUGCAUACCCAGAAAUGCCGCAGAGGGGGAUUCCUAAACAGCCACGUGCGUUAUUAGUGGUCAAUUAUGGUGAGUAUGCGUGUACUUUACUCUCCUACGUAAAGCUGCACUUCAGCUAAUUCACACCUCUGCAGAAGCAGGGRUGUACAAGUACACCUACGUGGCUAGCUCUAGAUCAUCAGCUAACCACCCUGGAGAUGACCUGUGCCAGGUCAGGAUCAGAGCCUUGGU